RNAcentral lists this ribosomal RNA (232 nucleotides) under uncultured bacterium. RNAcentral's name for it is "partial 16S ribosomal RNA". It matches the Rfam family "Bacterial small subunit ribosomal RNA", at positions 524 to 753 of the family's 1533-position model. The record is from RNAcentral.
UACGUAGGGUGCAAGCGUUAAUCGGAAUUACUGGGCGUAAAGCGUGCGCAGGCGGUGAUGUAAGACAGUUGUGAAAUCCCCGGGCUCAACCUGGGAACUGCAUUGGUGACUGGCGGGCUAGAGUAUGGCAGAGGGGGGGUAGAAUUCCACGUGUAGCAGUGAAAUGCGUAGAGAGUGUGGAGGAAUACCGAUGGCGAAGGCAGCCCCCUGGGCCAAUACUGACGCUCAUGCA